RNAcentral lists this transfer RNA (68 nucleotides) under Spea bombifrons (plains spadefoot toad). RNAcentral's name for it is "tRNA-Asp". It matches the Rfam family "tRNA". Rfam says of the family: Transfer RNA (tRNA) molecules are approximately 80 nucleotides in length. Their secondary structure includes four short double-helical elements and three loops (D, anti-codon, and T loops). Lineage: Eukaryota; Metazoa; Chordata; Amphibia; Anura; Pelobatidae. The record is from RNAcentral.
GAAGUGUUAGUAAAUUAUUACAUCACCUUGUCAAGGUGAAAUAAUGGGUUAAAAUCCUGUACAUUUCU